GCCAGGCGUGGUAGUGCACACCUGUAAUCCCAAUUGCUCUGGAGGCUGAGGCAGGAGAAUUGUGAGUUCAAAGUCAGCUUCAGCAACUUAGCGAGUUCCUGAACAACUUAGUGAGAUCUUCUCCCUA
This 127-nucleotide small RNA is filed under the name Marmota monax (woodchuck). Lineage: Eukaryota; Metazoa; Chordata; Mammalia; Rodentia; Sciuridae. The record is from RNAcentral.